GUUUUCAUUGGCACUGCCAUCUUCAUGGGAGCACGCAUGACUGAGCACAAGGAAGGAAAACCACAAACAUUUUAAAAUCAUGUUAACAAACAGGGCUUAGCGGGUGCGGUGGGGUUGGGAAGAUGCAGUGAACAGCGCAGAGCCCCUGGUUGGAGACUAACCAGAGGGUCUGCGGCUCAGCUCCUCCAGACGGUCGGAGCGCCUCUCCAGGGUGUUGAGCUUGUCCUUCUGGCUGUACACCAUGUAGGCUG
This is a long non-coding RNA of Electrophorus electricus (electric eel), 251 nucleotides long. RefSeq lists it as uncharacterized. The record is from RefSeq and is a predicted model, not a curated record. NCBI's taxonomy places the organism in Eukaryota, Metazoa, Chordata, Actinopteri, Gymnotiformes, Gymnotidae.